GACGAACGCUGGCGGCGUGCUUAACACAUGCAAGUCGAACGCUGAAGCUCAGCUUUUGUUGGGUGGAUGAGUGGCGAACGGGUGAGUAACACGUGAGUAACCUGCCCCCUUCUUUGGGAUAACGCCCGGAAACGGGUGCUAAUACUGGAUAUUCACUGGUCUUCGCAUGGGGGUUGGUGGAAAGGGUUUUUCUGGUGGGGGAUGGGCUCGCGGCCUAUCAGCUUGUUGGUGGGGUGAUGGCCUACCAAGGCUUUGACGGGUAGCCGGCCUGAGAGGGUGAACGGGCACAUUGGGACGGAGAUACGGCCCAGACUACUACGGGAGGCAGCAGUGGGGAAUAUGGCACAAUGGGCGCAAGCCUGAUGCAGCGACGCCGCGUGAGGGAUGGAGGCCUUCGGGUUGUGAACCUCUUUCGCUCAUGGUCAAGCCGCAACAAUGGUUGUGGUGAGGGUAGUGGGUAAAGAAGCGCCGGCUAACUACGUG
RNAcentral lists this ribosomal RNA (483 nucleotides) under uncultured bacterium. Its description in RNAcentral is "partial 16S ribosomal RNA". It matches the Rfam family "Bacterial small subunit ribosomal RNA", at positions 28 to 507 of the family's 1533-position model. The record is from RNAcentral.